GCAGUCGAACGAGAAAGCUUCCUUCGGGAAGUAAGUAGAGUGGCGCACGGGCUGAGUAACGCGUAGGUAAUCUACCCUUAUAACUGGGAUAACAUUGGGAAACUGGUGCUAAUACCGGAUACACUUCUUUACUGCGGGGUAAAGGAGGAAAGGUGGCCUCUUCAUGAAAGCUACCGUAUAGGGAUGAGCCUGCGUACCAUUAGCUAGUAGGCGGGGUAACGGCCCACCUAGGCAACGAUGGUUAGCGGGUCUGAGAGGAUGAUCCGCCACACUGGAACUGGAACACGGACCAGACUCCUACGGGAGGCAGCAGUGAGGAAUAUUGCGCAAUGGGGGAAACCCUGACGCAGCGACGCCGCGUGAGUGAGGAAGGUUUUCGGAUCGUAAAGCUCUGUCAGAAGGGAAGAAGUGUUAUAUGUUUAAUACGCAUAUAAUUUGACGGUACCUUCAGAGGAAGCACCGGCUAACUCCGUGCCAGCAGCCGCGGUAAUACGGAGGGUGCAAGCGUUGUUCGGAAUUACUGGGCGUAAAGGGCGCGUAGGCGGCUGGAUAAGUCAGAUGUGAAAGUCCAUGGCUCAACUGUGGAAGUGCAUUUGAAACUGUCCGGCUUGAGUAUCGGAGGGGAGUGUGGAAUUCCCGGUGUAGAGGUGAAAUUCGUAGAGAUCGGGAGGAACACCGGUGGCGAAGGCGACACUCUGGACGAAUACUGACGCUGAGGCGCGAAAGCGUGGGGAGCAAACAGGAUUUAGAUACCCUGGUAGUCCACGCCGUAAACGAUGUGAACUAGGGAUAGGGGGUGUUGAUCCCUCCUGUCCCGCAGCUAACGCAUU
This 830-nucleotide ribosomal RNA is filed under the name uncultured delta proteobacterium. Its description in RNAcentral is "bacterial SSU rRNA". It matches the Rfam family "Bacterial small subunit ribosomal RNA", at positions 57 to 861 of the family's 1533-position model. The record is from RNAcentral. Lineage: Bacteria; Deltaproteobacteria.